UUUUCUGUGGGUUUUGCAAGAGCUCUGUCACCAUGGGAAGGACUUUCUGUCUCUUUAUGCUUUUACUUGGCUUUGUGGGGGGUGUCUCUAAGAUGCUACUUACAGGAAAGCAAAGUAGUAAAAAAGUUGGCAUGGACCCACUGCCUAUGUAGAAGCCACUGUGUUCACUGGAAGCUGACAUCCGGGACUUGGCAUCCAUUACAGGGCUAACAAAAGGCCAUAAUCCAGGCUUUUCAACUGUUCAUCCACACGGCUCGACAUCAGCUGUGCAGGAGCGUAAACCUGCGAUUACCAAGCACGGGGCGGCUCUCCCACCUGUUCCAUCAUUUCUCCACCUUAUGUGCACUCACUCUGAGGACUGUAAGCAAUUACUCUGCUAGGUACUAAAUACGAUAUGCAGCACAUGGUAGUGUAAAAUUAUGGAAUUUGGGGGUUUUAAUGAGCUCAGGUGCAAUACAAAAGAACUUUUUUUUUUUUUUUUCCUGUCCAUAAAAUUAUAUGGCUUGGAAUCAGGGGUUUAUACAGCCCUGGACAAAGCCAUUUUAUUUAAAGGGUGGGUGUGGGGGGGAAUACAACAACAACAACACCCUAGCCCAGCACAAUUAUAUGCAGAUUUGUUCAUAAAUCUGGGCUGGAGCAGAUGUGCUGCACAUGUUGAAAAUCCAGAGCAUGUUGCUGGAACUUGAAACAUAAACAUGAACCUGUUUCCAAAGAGGAAAAUCUGCUCACAGCGAGGAGCUGACCCUGUGCUUUAAACAAAGAUCAAGUCCAUUCUGCCUAUUGUGCCUUUGCCAUGUGUUUACUUUCCUUGCUUGGUGCCUAGGGUAGCUUAAGGAAUAGACAGAAGAAAAGAAACAAUUUACCUGGGUCAGAAAAGAGCCAGUGUCACUUUGGACAUGAGGAAACAAGAGGUAGGAUGUGACCCAACCCAUCUUGCUAGCAAGGGUCCUAUUAGGCUGGGUCAGGAGUAUCAUGCCAGAUCUCUCAUCUGUAUUUUUAGAUGCUUGAAGUCUUUUGCCCUGUAGCUAAAUCCCGUAGAAAAACAUAACAGCACUUCACAGUGGGUAAGGCUGUAAGAAACAGUCUGCUUUAAAAAUGAACCUGCACUCUGUAGGUAGUUGGAAGUGAAGUUCCUGUAGCUGGCUGCGUGAUUAAAUUCCUUUGGAGGGUAGCAGGGCAUGCUCUUGAAGACUCUGCACCCUGACUGAGUGCCACCAUACUCGCUCUGUUUAAUGGUGGUGAGCUGAAAUGCUGACAGCCCCUCCUACCCGAGGCUGGGAGCUGCCAGCUUUUGGCACAGUCUCUUGUAAGCCUGUCUGAUACCUGUGGUAGGAUGCAAGGUAUUUUUCUCUUUUCUUGACUUUUUAUUUUGUCAAGAAUAAGUUUGGGUUGCUUGAAAGGGACUGAGAAUGCAAAGUGCUUUCCUACUGACCAGUGAAAAAGAUUAGCCCUCCAGGUAAGGGGCAGAGGUGACUUUCUGGUUAAUAUGAGGCUCCUCACAUCCCAUCUGCACCACAUGGGUGAAGAAAGGAGUUCAUUUACCAGACACGCUGAUGCCAUGACCUACACAAACACUGAAGUCCCAGCUCUCUUUCUUCUGGAAGAAAAGAGGUGAUGGAUGUGGUCAUCUGUGUGUGUGUGUUCUCGUAACUCUCCCUGGGAGGAGCUGGAUUAGGGCAUGCCACUGAAAGCCGUGCUCACACACCUCUCCUCCUACCCACAGGCUGGGCUGCUGGUGGCGUUAAAGACUUUGGUCCCUAGGACCAAAAGACAAUAAACAUUGGAGCCUACUUGGAAACUAUUGCAGUCAGCUGCAAUACCCUGCCUACAGGAGGGAGGUAUUUUUCUGGAUGUCUCAGAGCUUGAGAAACCUGCACCUCUCUGGCCAACUGCUCAUGUUUUAUUUUUCUUUAAAUCAAAGAGCCAUGAAAGGGAAUGGCUGUUAAAAAUCAUCAGAUAGAUGUAGUUGUAGGCUGGAUCAGAAAGGAAAUGAGCAAUUUAUGCUGAGCACAGUCACAAAUAAAACAAAUCUCUGGUUAGCUGACUAUAAAAGAGCCGUGUAUCUGGAUCAGCCCCUUGCUUGCUGCCACUUGCUUGCCCAAUGUCUGCUUCCACCCAUGCAGAGAGGGAUGGGGCUGCCCCGCUAGUGUGUUACGAGCAUUGAACCUGGCGAGGGCAGCGAGGUGCCUACAUGGAGCAGGACUGAACAGGUAUCGUGAUGACUAAUCGAAAAUGGGUAUCUAUUUGAGAAAUACCCACGUGUGAGAAGUCCAUUAGCUAAUGAGGUUUCCGAGGUGUUUUACACUCUCGUAGCCCAAAGGCUCUGGCACAGGCAGUAGAGAGCCCUGGCACCACACCACUGGCAAAGCUAAAAGGGCUGUCAGUGCUGACAUGUUCACCUUACACUGGAAAGUUUUAAAUGUUCCCAGUGGCCCAACUAUUUGUCCUUCCACCUGCCUACCGUUCAAUCCAUUGCCCGCAAAUAUGGUAAAAGGAAGAAAAGAUGCAUUAUUAUUAAUAAAUGAAUGGAGCUAUUUUGCUAUUUAUUAUUUAAGUCCUCAAUACCGGCAGGCUUUAGUGAUACAUGAAAUACAGGCAAGUAAUUUAUUUAUUAGGGAAAAUAAUGAUUUUUUCUCCCUGUUCUGGAGCCCUCUCUGACCCAAAACAGCAGGGGGUUUAUCAAAUACAAAUACGAUGACUUGUAAUUUUAGAGUCUUUCAGAGCACUGUAACUGACAACCUUUUUAACAUAAGUACAUUGAGCAAAUAAUUUAUAGAAGUAUUCUGGGAAUAUUUUAGGGUGUUUUAUUACUACUUCUGAAAGCUAUGGCAUGUUAUUGAUUUUGGUGUAUUAAUAUAACCUAAAAGUGAGGGCACAUGCUUGCCUCCUAAUCCAAAUCAGCUUUGAUGGCAACCCAUAUAUUUUACUGAAAGGAGCCUUGAACUAACGGCAGAGGUUAACAAUUACACAUCAUAGCCAAAAGUUUAAGAUAAUGAAUUUUGCUCAUUACACACUGUCCAGCUCCAGCCACGGGAAGUUCCCCACUGCUCCCUCCUCCAUGUUUCAUCCAAACCUCUCCAGUCGCUAUUUGUCACCGUUGUGAAGCCUUAUUCUCGCAUUCGUGUCAUGCAAUUUACAUUGUAUUCAUGAAGGCUUCCACUGAGGAAGUGUAAUCAUCAUUACUGUUUUCUGUACGCCAUAAAAAUAGUGUAUUUCUCUUAAAACUGGAUUGCUUGCUUGCUUUGUAUUUUUUUCAUGUAUAUAUAUGUGUGCGUGUGUGUGUGUACACAGGCAUAGGUAUAGGUAACGACUGCAGUUAUAUAUACCUGAGCAGAUGUUGGCAUUUCUCUGUUUCCUUCUUUGCUGUGCUGAGACUCUCCAAACUGAAGCACCGAACCUGUGCUCUUCUUUUCUCUCUUCCCAAGUUUUUUUCUGUUAAUCUCUGUUAACAAUUAGUUUCACCUCUGUUAAUUCAGUUCUGGAGGACUUUCUAUUUUCCACUUAGUUUUUUGUUUUAAAAAGGAACAGUGGACUAUUUUUAAAUGCCCUGACAUGGGAAUGCCAUCAUAGGAAUGCCUUUGAACUGUGGUUCUUCUUUAGCUGUGCUUUCUUAAGAGCAUCCAAACUGAUCUAAUUGCCUUUGUCUUCCUCCCCUUUCAACAGACAAUGGUUUCUUUUUUCUUGUGUUUCUUUUCUUGGUUAAUUUACUGAUGCCAUCACUGUUGGUGUGGGCAUAGGAAUUCUUAGUUCUGCCCAGCCUUUUGAACAGGCAGAAGACGCUUUUGAACAGCUCUGCAGCCCUAGGGGCUCUUACUGGUGCACAGACAGGCAGUUUCAAUGGCAGAGUGAGGGAAACAGGCAAGGAGUGGCCAUGGAGAAAAAAUCCUUCCAGAUUUGUACCCUGCUUUGGACUUUUUUUGGACUCCAGGGCUGGGCAGCUGGGAGUUGUGUCGCGCCCAGGAAGGAUCUUGCUUCUCUUUACACCGUGACUUGUGUAUAAAAAGCCUGUGCAUGGGGAGUGGGGUGAGGUGAACUGAGGAGUAUGCAUUAAAAUAGCAUAAAUUAUGGAGGUUUUAUUUUUAUUUGGGGAAGGAAUCCAAUCAAAAUAACUCUGGAGGGGGGAAAAAGCAUACUGAAGUUGAGGAGCAGGGACGAGGCCAUCUGGCUGAACAUGCCGCCCGUUAAAAUGUACCUUAAUCCCCGCUUCCUGCUUUUUUUGCCAUAUGCUUUUCUGUGCGAAAAGUCAGAUACAGAGCGGUGCCCUUAAAAGAGAAGUUUCAUUCCUGGUCACCUAAAAAGGUGACUCUUAAUUGAAUCCAAAAGGGGCAUUUUAUAUCAGAGUAGAUUUACUCACAUCUUUAUUUUCCAAUAAAGUCUGCUUGCCCCUCCUGUCCUUGUGGCAUGACUGAUGCCACUUCCCACCCAAGACGUUUCUGGAGGAAGGAUUUUUCCUCCCCUUUUUUACACAAUUUAAAAUUUGUUUUAUUGUUUCGGUGGUAAAACUCCAUUGGUGUUUGUUCCCUGGUGCAGUUAAUGUCCUCGUUCUCAAAGGAAGAACACCAAGGUCUUGGGUUGAAGUGGGGUGGUGUCUGCUUCCAUUGCAGUCAACAUUUAAUGAUUUGUAAUUAGUCCUAGUGGACCAGCAGAGGAGAGGAGAUGCUCAAACGCAGUGCUGAGCAAUUGCAAAUGUAAAUUAGUUUUUGGGAUUGUUGCAGGCAGGAUUUUAUUGGUAUGGGUUUUGGAACAUCCUAACAGGGCUUGUUACCGAGGAGCAUUUAUUGAACCUGUGAUUUCCAAGCUUUAUAAAUUUAUUAAGCUUUCAAUGCAAGACUUCAAGCUCUGGAUAAUUCUUACUGGAAGUUGCUCUCGGGGAACUUGAAAAUCUGUGAAUGAGCUCUACCACUGCUGCAUUGCAUCCCUCGUGUAGGGUAGCCCAGAGCAGUGGUGGGACAAGUAGGCAGCUUGCCCCGAGUCCCUUGGUUAGCGGGAUACAGACAGGCCCACCACAGUAUCGUAUUUCCUAAUGUGCAGUAGACUGCACAAAUUACAGCACUUCUUUUUUUUCCAGGUGCACAUGAUACAGAGAGCUCCUGUUGUUGUUUUGGGUUCUUUAUUUUUAGGUUCAGCAGAUUUUAUUGGGUUAUUUUCCUACCCCGUGAACACAGGCACCAGGUAGUCAAUAACAAUCGCUCCAUUAAAAGGGAAAAAUAAAAUCUUCAGUGUUAGCUGCACACACUAGAAAUAAAAUAAAAGAAUAGAAAAGGAGAAAGAUGAAGGGAAAACCAGAUGCCAAACACUGUUUUACAUGACAUGGCAUUUGGCGUCCUAUAGACUCAUGUCUUUGAAUGAAUGCAGGUAAAAGAUUAACAGAAAAGGUGCGUUGUAUUGCAUUCCCCUUCCAUUCUUUGAUAUUAUCUCCUCUGAAAAUGAAGAUGCUUAUUUAACAGCUGCAUUAUCUUAAAUAAACUUUUGGCUUCCAAUGUGAGAACAUUUUGGCCCCAACAAGGCUCUCCUGAGGUUACGAACAAAUCAAUAGUAGCCAGGAAUAGCUGGGCGGAGAGGCUCUCCGUGCUCCUUUUAGCUACCAGACCUCCUUCAGCUCCAAACCUCGUUAUGCCUGAACCCAUAGCCAAGUAAAUGCUGGCAUUUUAGUCGCAGCAAGGACGAGCUCUGAUUCCUCCUCUCCCAUCCCCUGGAAGUGCUCAGCCGGCAGGCAGCCCCUCUCCCAGGCCAGACCUCUUCUUCUGCUGCUACUUCCAGUGGCACCACGGAAAGCAAAAGCAAAACCCCAGCCCCGUGUCUUCUGCUCCUAAGCGUUCGGCUGCGAGCACCAGUCACAACUGGUUUGCGUUCCCUGCUUGCUUCUGCCGUUGAGGCUUUAUUUAGGCUUGAUAGUGAGUGAAACAGUCAGGUGUAAGAUUUUAGGUCUCCGCUCAGACGAAUUGCGCACGGUGCACGCCAAGCAGCCCGAGUGUUUACAACAGCCUGUGACAGAACGCGUUACUCGCUGCGACGUGAGGCACUGCCACAGAAAUAUGGCACGUUGCACAGGAAUUGCUUUUACAGCGAGCUGAAAGUCGUGUUAUUAGGGUUCGCUAUUGGAUUAACCCGCCACCAGGCAAUCCAGCCGGAUACCAGCGGCGAGGAUUUAUUACCGGCCGUGACUUGUAGUCACAUCGGAGCUCACGAUGAAAUCCCGGCGUGUGGGUGCGCGUGUCUAUGGGUGUGUGGGUGCGUGUGUACGUCUGUCUGUGUGUGUGCGUGUGUCUGUGUAUGUGUCAGUGCUGGGAGGGACAGGGAGAGCGGCCGAUCUGUAGGGGAGCUGGGUGCAAGCUCCUGUGGUGUGGCACUGUGGCUGCAGCCCUUUGCAGCAUCUCAUGUCCCGUGCUUGGGGUUAAAAACUCCUCCUGUGUUGCCCAAGCUGUGUCACUGAAAGGCAAUCAGGGGUGAAUGAGGGGGUGCAGUUUGUGUCUGGGUUAUAGAGAUGGUGCCUGGUGAGGUUAUGGAGUAACUGGGCAUCGUGGUCGGUCCCCAAGUCUUUGCCGUUGCGUUCAGCAGCCCUGUGAGUAUUCAGGUUGCGUCCUCUCCCCCGAUGCUGCCACCCAGUGUGCCAAUUUGUUUCAGAUCUGUCAGGGUGUGGAGGGGGAAGUAUGAACGUCUGUCCAGGAGGAAUUGGUCCGAUGCAUCACCCGUGCACUCUGCAGGCAGUCCGGUGACCUGCCAACAGAUGGCACUGACUUUCACUCGUGGUUUGAUGGCUGGGACCAAAUUCUUACCUGCGACCAAAAAGCUCAGUCCCUCACUGCUAGUGAGGAUCAGCUGUUCUUUACCUCUUUCAGCCAUGCAAAUACCAAAAAAA
This is a non-coding RNA of Anas platyrhynchos (mallard), 6859 nucleotides long. NCBI's taxonomy places the organism in Eukaryota, Metazoa, Chordata, Aves, Anseriformes, Anatidae. The record is from RefSeq and is a predicted model, not a curated record.